AUCCGUGAAGAGGCAGAUAUAAAUAAAUAAGACAAGGAGACCCUAUGGAGCUUUAAUUUAUUAAGUGCAAAUAAAACCUCAAACAAGCCUACAGGCCCUAGCCUACUAUCCCUGCAUUAAAAAAUUUUGGUUGGGGUGACCUCAGAGCAUAGUUCAACCUCCAAACAACCUAAACUAAGACCGCACUAGUCCAAGCAAAUAUAGAUAGAUAGGCGAUAGAUAGAUAGAUAGAUACAUACAUACAUACACACAUACAUACAUACAUACAUACAUACCCAAUAAUUUGAUCAAUAGAAUAAGUUACGCUAGGGAUAACAGUGCAAUCCUAUUCUAGAGUUCAUAUCGACAAUAGGGUUUACAACCUCGAUGUUGGAUCAGGACAUCCUAAUGGUGUAGCCGCUAGUAAGGGUUUGUUUGUUCAACAAUUAAAGUCCUGUGUGAUCUGAGUUCAGACUGGAGUAAUCCAGGUUGGUUUCUAUCUAUUU
RNAcentral lists this non-coding RNA (485 nucleotides) under Pongo abelii (Sumatran orangutan). RNAcentral's name for it is "Bacterial large subunit ribosomal RNA". It matches the Rfam family "Bacterial large subunit ribosomal RNA", at positions 2049 to 2647 of the family's 2925-position model. Lineage: Eukaryota; Metazoa; Chordata; Mammalia; Primates; Hominidae. The record is from Rfam by way of RNAcentral.